AAGUCGUAACAAGGUAACCGUAGGUGAACCUGCGGUUGGAUCAUUAAAAAAAAAAUUAUUUUUUUAGUCUCUGGGGUAUUUCUCAUAUGAGAGGGACCCCAUGAUGGCUAAAUUAACACCUGUGCACUUUGAAUGUAUCUUGGGUAGGUUUAUAUACUUAUCCAAAAAUUUUGAUAAACCCCUAUUGAUUAUGUCUGAAAAUUUUAUAUUAAAAUAUAAACAACUUUUGACAACGGAUCUCUAGGCUCUC
RNAcentral lists this unclassified non-coding RNA (250 nucleotides) under fungal sp. Its description in RNAcentral is "partial internal transcribed spacer region". The stretch from base 1 to 46 matches the Rfam family "Eukaryotic small subunit ribosomal RNA", at positions 1786 to 1831 of the family's 1831-position model. Lineage: Eukaryota; Fungi. The record is from RNAcentral.